MicroRNA precursor from Oryza sativa Indica Group (long-grained rice), 207 nucleotides. It matches the Rfam family "MIR812 microRNA precursor family". Lineage: Eukaryota; Viridiplantae; Streptophyta; Magnoliopsida; Poales; Poaceae. The record is from Rfam.
AAUAAUUAUAGCUUUAUACGGCUCAUCUCCAACAUUUAAUCGUUUAUAUUAUUUGAAAAAAAAAUUAUGAUUAGUAUUUUGUUGUCAUUAGAUGAUAAAAAUAUGAAUAAUACUUUAUGUGUGACUUUUUUUUUGUUUUUUUCAUAAUUUUUUCAAAUAAGACGGACGGUCAAACGUUGGACACGGAUUUCUAUGGCUGUGCUUAUU